RNAcentral lists this ribosomal RNA (117 nucleotides) under Monodelphis domestica (gray short-tailed opossum). Lineage: Eukaryota; Metazoa; Chordata; Mammalia; Didelphimorphia; Didelphidae. The record is from RNAcentral.
UUCUAGAGUCAUAUAACCUUGAAUACAUGAUCUCAUCUGAUCUUAAAAGCUAAGCAGGGUUAGGCCUGAUUAGUACUUGCAUGGGAAACCUCUGAGGAAUACUGGGUGCUGUGGGUU